AGACUGCUGACUCGCAUUCUUGACAUGAGCUUCUUUUGUUGCUGACUUGAAUUGCAUUCUGAGGUGAAUUUCCUUGUUCUCCGGGUGGGCGCCUGAUUGCUGAACUUGAACCGUCUUCUCUUGUUACUUGAAACUAUUUUCCCUUACACCUUGAACAAUUUUCCCUUAGAAACUUGAACUGUAUCCCUUUGAAACUGUUUUCCCUUGAAAGUUAAGUUGUCUUCCUUCGAAACUGCUUUCCCUUGAAACUAGAGUUGUCUUCCCUUGUUCUCCAGGUGGGCGCCUGAUUGCUGAACUUGACCUGUCUUCCUUUGAAACUUGAAUCAUUUUCCCUUAAAACUUGAACUAUCUUCCCUUGUUCUCCAGGUGGGCGCCUGAUUGCUGAACUUUAACUGUAUUCCCGUGCUCUCCAGGUGGGCGCCUGAUUAGCAAAACUUUAACUGUAUUCCCGUGCUCUCCAGGUGGGCGCCUGAUUGCCAAAACUUUAAAUGUAUUCCCGUGCUCUCCAGGUGGGCGCCUGAUUGCCGAACUUGAACUGUAUUCCCGUGCUCUCCAGGUAGGUGCCUAAUUGCUAAACUUUAACUGUAUUCUCGUGCUCUCCAGGUGGGCGCCUGAUUUCAACAAAAUAGACAAAACAAAGAAAAUUUUCUGCCCCAGUUUGGUAGCUGGGCACAUAUGUGAGUGUUUAUCGAAUAUUUUAAGAAUUUAAAAGCUAGAUCCCAUUAUCCAGGAGGGUCCUGGCAACUCCUAG
Molecule: long non-coding RNA, 751 nt
Filed under: Nicotiana tabacum (common tobacco)
Lineage: Eukaryota; Viridiplantae; Streptophyta; Magnoliopsida; Solanales; Solanaceae
Description: long non-coding RNA (NTAB_LNC000415)
Source: RNAcentral